Molecule: RNA transcript, 4216 nt
Organism: Fundulus heteroclitus (mummichog)
Lineage: Eukaryota; Metazoa; Chordata; Actinopteri; Cyprinodontiformes; Fundulidae
Gene: atp8a2
Gene name: ATPase phospholipid transporting 8A2
Exons: 38
Source: RefSeq, a predicted model, not a curated record
UGGAGCGACCUCACCUCUGCGUGAUUACCGCUGCUCAGGAGCUGCCCGCUUCACCGGAGCCUCGGCGGUCCAUCGGCAGAGAGAGAGAGAGAGAGAGACGAUGAUUGCCGAGCAGCUCCAGCAGCAGGAGGACCAGCGGCAGGUGAGGCGGAGUCAGCCCCGGUCCCGGAGCGGCUCUCCCCGGCUCUGUUGGUGAGCCGUGAGCAUGAUACCUCCCCGGCCUCCUCCAUCUCGUCCCUGGCGCACGGAUCGUCACCCCCACCUAACAAGAUGUAUUUCAACCGGAGAGGCAAGAAGAUCCACAGCGAGGGAGAGCAGUUAGUGUUGACCACCAUCAUUAGGCAGGAGGCUUCUGAAGGGCAGGACCCAGGCCAGGGCCCCAGCGCCACCAUGCGCGCUCGCCUUGCAGACAGGUUUGACAAAACCUCACCUCUCUCCCAUCAAUCCAACGGCGCAGGACCCUCUGGCUCGUCCGCCGGGUACCGCAAGGCGGAUGACGAGAUGUCCGGCACCACUUCCCAGGCGGAACCCGUGGACGCCACGGCGCGGACGGUGAUCCUCAACCGGCCCCAGACCACCAAGUUCUGCGACAACCACGUGAGUACCACCAAGUAUGGGAUUUUAACCUUCCUGCCCCGGUUCCUCUAUGAGCAGAUCCGACGGGCGGCCAACGCCUUCUUCCUGUUCAUCGCACUUAUGCAGCAAAUCCCUGAUGUAUCGCCGACCGGUCGCUACACCACUCUGGUGCCGCUCAUCUUCAUCCUCACCGUGGCGGGAAUUAAAGAAAUCAUAGAGGACUACAAAAGACACAAAGCGGACAACACGGUGAACAAGAAGAAGACGACAGUGCUGCGGAGCGGAGCUUGGCAGACCAUCAUCUGGAAGCAGGUGGCAGUAGGAGACAUAGUGAAGGUGACCAAUGGCCAGCAUCUUCCAGCUGACAUGGUUAUAGUCUCUUCCAGCGAGCCACAGGCCAUGUGCUACAUCGAGACGUCUAACCUGGAUGGAGAAACCAACCUGAAGAUCAGACAGGGUCUUCCCCUGACGGCCGGUUUUCAGACCCUGGAGGAUUUGAUGGCGCUGUCGGGUCAGUUGGAGUGCGAAGGCCCCAACAGGCACCUGUACGACUUCACCGGCACGCUGCGCCUGGUGAACCAGAAUCCGGCUCCUCUGGGUCCAGACCAGGUGCUGCUGCGCGGGGCCCAGCUCAGGAACACACAGUGGGUGGUGGGAAUCGUUGUGUAUACCGGCCAUGACUCUAAACUGAUGCAGAACUCCACCAAGGCGCCACUGAAGCGCUCCAACGUGGAGCGGGUGACCAACAUGCAGAUCCUGGUCCUGUUCGGCAUCCUGCUGGUCAUGGCGCUCGUCAGCUCUGUGGGCGCCGCCAUCUGGAACAGGGAGCACACGGACGAAGCCUGCUGGUACCUGUCGCGGGCCGGCGACAUCUCCCUGAACUUUGCGUAUAACCUGCUGACGUUCAUCAUCCUCUACAACAACCUGAUCCCCAUCAGCCUGCUGGUUACUCUGGAGGUGGUGAAGUUCACACAGGCCCUCUUCAUCAACUGGGACGUUGAGAUGUACUACCCGGAGACGGACACGCCGGCCAUGGCCCGAACAUCCAACCUCAACGAAGAACUGGGCCAGGUAAAAUACCUCUUUUCUGACAAGACGGGAACGCUGACGUGUAACAUCAUGCACUUCAAGAAGUGUACCAUAGCAGGAAUCACGUACGGCCACUUCCCUGAUCUUGACUGUGAUCGUUCCAUGGAGGACUUCAGCAAUCUGCCGUCCAACAGCCACAACUCCACAGAGUUUGACGACCCGAGUCUCAUUCAGAACAUUGAAAAGAAUCAUCCGACGUCGCCUCAGAUCUGCGAGUUCCUGACCAUGAUGGCGGUUUGCCACACUGUGGUACCGGAGAGGGAGGACAACCAGAUUAUUUACCAGGCCUCCUCACCGGACGAAGGGGCGCUGGUCAAAGCCGCCAAAGGAUUCGGCUUCGUCUUCACAGCCAGGACCCCCGAUUCGGUCAUCAUCGACGCUAGAGGAAAAGAGAUGACCUUUGAAAUCCUGAACGUACUGGAGUUCUCCAGUAAUCGUAAGCGCAUGUCCGUGGUGGUGAGAACGCCCAUUGGGAAGCUGCGGCUUUACUGCAAAGGAGCUGAUAACGUCAUCUUUGAACGACUAACAGAAGCAUCUCAGUACAAAGAGCUAACCAUCGCUCAUCUGGAGCAGUUUGCUACGGAAGGCCUGAGGACCCUCUGUUUUGCGUAUGUGGACCUGGAGGAAGGCGCCUAUCAGGAGUGGCUGAAAGAAUAUAACCGUGUCAGCACUGAACUCAAAGACCGCACUCAGAAGCUGGAGGAGUGCUAUGAACGUCUGGAAAAGAACUUAAUGUUGCUCGGAGCCACAGCCAUCGAGGACCGUCUCCAGGCCGGUGUCCCAGACACGAUUGCCACGUUGAUGAGGGCCGGUAUCAAGAUCUGGGUGCUCACCGGAGACAAGCAAGAGACCGCCAUUAAUAUAGGUUACUCCUGUCGCCUGGUGACACACGGCAUGUCCCUCAUCAUUGUCAACGAGGACUCUCUCGACGCCACUCGUGCCACCCUCACCGCCCACUGUUCCUCCCUGGGCGACUCUCUGAGAAAGGAGAACGAGCUCGCACUGAUCAUCGAUGGCCAAACUCUUAAAUACGCCCUGUCCUUCGAGCUCCGCCAGGCCUUCCUCGACUUGGCGCUGUCCUGCAAAGCUGUGAUCUGCUGCCGAGUGUCUCCCCUGCAGAAGUCAGAGAUUGUGGACAUGGUGAAAAAGCACGUGAAAGCCAUCACUCUGGCAAUAGGCGACGGCGCCAACGACGUGGGCAUGAUUCAGACGGCUCACGUUGGAGUGGGGAUCAGCGGCAACGAGGGCAUGCAGGCUACCAACUCCUCUGACUACUCCAUUGCACAGUUCGCCUACCUGGAGAAGCUGCUGUUGGUCCACGGGGCGUGGAGCUACAACCGCGUCACCAAGUGCAUCCUCUACUGCUUCUACAAGAACGUGGUCCUCUACAUUAUAGAGCUCUGGUUCGCCUUCGUGAACGGCUUCUCCGGUCAGAUCCUGUUCGAGCGCUGGUGUAUAGGCCUCUACAACGUGAUAUUCACGGCGCUGCCCCCGUUCACGUUGGGGAUCUUCGACCGGCCCUGCAGCCAGCAGAACAUGCUCCGCUUCCCGCAGCUCUACAGGAUAACCCAGAAUGCCGAGGGCUUCAACACCAAGGUGUUUUGGGGACACUGUAUCAAUGCACUGAUCCAUUCGAUCAUCCUCUUCUGGUUUCCGCUCAAAAUGUUAGAGCACGAUUCCCCGUUCAGUAACGGCCAGGGAAACGACUACCUGUUUGCAGGAAACAUGGUCUACACGUAUGUGGUCGUUACAGUUUGUCUAAAAGCUGGAAUGGAGACCACCGCUUGGACCAAGUUCUCCCACCUCGCCGUAUGGGGAAGCAUGGCGCUCUGGAUGGUCUUCUUCGGCGUGUACUCCGUCUUCUGGCCCGCCAUCCCGAUUGCCCCCGACAUGCUGGGCCAGGCCGGUAAAGUGAUGCAGUGCUGGUACUUCUGGCUGGGCCUGGUCCUGGUACCCACGGCGUGUUUACUCAAAGAUUUCGCCUGGGCAGCCACACGCCGCACUUUGAGGAAGUCUCUGCUGGAGGAGGUGCAGGAGCUGGAGGCGCGGGCCGUCGACCCGGGAGCCGCGGUGCUCAGGGACUCCAGCGGCCGCAGGUGGACCAAUUUGACCUGCUGUACAGACCUGUCUAAACGAACGUGCCCAUCUGCUGACAAGAGUAUUUAGGAAAACGCCUUCAAGUGUUGGACGCUCCAACUCGGUGCAGCAGACGGUUUCACAUGGCUACGCCUUCUCUCAGGAGGAGCACGGCGUGGUGUCCCAGUCCCAGGUAGUUCGGUCCUACGACACCACCCGCCAGCGCCCCAGCCUCUAGCCACCUCCACCCACCCCGAUCGAGGCUUUGGCUCAACGUAGCAUUCGCUGUCACAAGGACGGCGAGAUGAACUUGAGAGCCACCCUCCGACGGCGACCGGCCUCUGCUGUGGCCUUACCAGGACAAUGACGGGACCGUCAUGGACGGGUGGGGAGGGGUCCGUGUCUGGUGUUUUCGGAGGACAGGAUCGGAUAAAGGGACCAGGCUAAUUGCUCAGCAAACUCCUAAAAAAAAUAA